This 271-nucleotide ribosomal RNA is filed under the name uncultured prokaryote. RNAcentral describes it as "partial 16S ribosomal RNA". It matches the Rfam family "Bacterial small subunit ribosomal RNA", at positions 524 to 794 of the family's 1533-position model. The record is from RNAcentral.
UACGUAGGUGGCAAGCGUUGUCCGGAAUUACUGGGUGUAAAGGGCGUGUAGGCGGGGAGACAAGUCAGAUGUGAAAUACCGUGGCUUAACUGCGGGGGUGCAUCUGAAACUGUUUCUCUUGAGUAUCAGAGGGGAAAGCGGAAUUCCUGGUGGAGCGGUAAAAUGCGCAGAGAUCAGGAGGAACACCGGUGGCGAAGGCGGCUUUCUGGCCAGUUACUGACGCUCAUGCGCGAAAGCUGGGGUAGCGAACCGGAUUAGAUACCCCCGUAGU